UAGUGGCGAACGGGUGAGUAACACGUGGGCAAUCUGCCCUUCACUCUGGGACAAGCCCUGGAAACGGGGUCUAAUACCGGAUAACACCGGCCUCUGCAUGGGGGCUGGUUAAAAGCUCCGGCGGUGAAGGAUGAGCCCGCGGCCUAUCAGCUUGUUGGUGAGGUAACGGCUCACCAAGGCGACGACGGGUAGCCGGCCUGAGAGGGCGACCGGCCACACUGGGACUGAGACACGGCCCAGACUCCUACGGGAGGCAGCAGUGGGGAAUAUUGCACAAUGGGCGAAAGCCUGAUGCAGCGACGCCGCGUGAGGGAUGACGGCCUUCGGGUUGUAAACCUCUUUCAGCAGGGAAGAAGCGAAAGUGACGGUACCUGCAGAAGAAGCGCCGGCUAACUACGUGCCAGCAGCCGCGGUAAUACGUAGGGCGCAAGCGUUGUCCGGAAUUAUUGGGCGUAAAGAGCUCGUAGGCGGCUUGUCACGUCGGGUGUGAAAGCCCGGGGCUUAACCCCGGGUCUGCAUCCGAUACGGGCAGGCUAGAGUGUGGUAGGGGAGAUCGGAAUUCCU
RNAcentral lists this ribosomal RNA (564 nucleotides) under Streptomyces sp. 384F12. RNAcentral's name for it is "bacterial SSU rRNA". It matches the Rfam family "Bacterial small subunit ribosomal RNA", at positions 93 to 671 of the family's 1533-position model. Lineage: Bacteria; Bacillati; Actinomycetota; Actinomycetes; Kitasatosporales; Streptomycetaceae. The record is from RNAcentral.